GGUCGGUUAGCUCAGUUGGUUAGAGCGUCGUACUAAUACAGUGACUGCGUGACUGUAUCAAGUAAUGCGAAGGUCAUGGGUUCGACCCCCAUACUGACCA
Non-coding RNA from Xylaria venustula, 100 nucleotides. The record is from the annotation of a GenBank genome assembly. NCBI's taxonomy places the organism in Eukaryota, Fungi, Ascomycota, Sordariomycetes, Xylariales, Xylariaceae.